Molecule: transfer RNA, 63 nt
Filed under: Siboglinum fiordicum
Lineage: Eukaryota; Metazoa; Annelida; Polychaeta; Sabellida; Siboglinidae
Description: tRNA-Thr
Source: RNAcentral
GUUAAAAGAAGCAAAUAUGCAUUGAUUUUGUAAAUCAAAAAAAGAAUUUAUAUUCCUUUAACU